UGCCAGCCGCCGCGGUAACACGGGGGGCGCAAGCGUUAUUCGGAAUUAUUGGGCGUAAAGGGCGCGCAGGCGGUCUUGUCCGUCAGGUGUGAAAGCUCGGGGCUCAACCCCGGAAGUGCACUUGAAACAGCAAGACUUGAAUACGGUAGAGGAGAGAGGAAUUCCUGGUGUAGAGGUGAAAUUCGUAGAUAUCAGGAGGAACACCAGCGGCGAAGGCGGCGCUCUGGGCCGGUACUGACGCUCAUGUGCGAAAGUGUGGGUAGCGAACAGGGUUAGAUA
This 279-nucleotide ribosomal RNA is filed under the name uncultured bacterium. RNAcentral describes it as "partial 16S ribosomal RNA". It matches the Rfam family "Bacterial small subunit ribosomal RNA", at positions 506 to 784 of the family's 1533-position model. The record is from RNAcentral.